Mesocricetus auratus (golden hamster) is the source of this 250-nucleotide non-coding RNA. Lineage: Eukaryota; Metazoa; Chordata; Mammalia; Rodentia; Cricetidae. The record is from Rfam.
GGAUGUCAGGACGAUCUGGCCGUGACAUCUGCCACCCCCAUUGAUUGCCAGGGUUGAUUUGGCUGAUCUGGCUGGCUAGGCAGGUGUCCCUUCCUCCCUCACUGCUCCAUAUGCACCCCUCCUGUCCUUCCCCAAAAGAGGAAUACUGGUCUUCAGUCCAGGGUAUAUGAGUAGCUGUACUCCCCUGCUAGAACCUUCAAACAAGCUCUCAAAGAUGAGUGUUGUCUGGUAUUAUUAGUAUUGUUUGUUU